This 235-nucleotide ribosomal RNA is filed under the name uncultured Glomus. RNAcentral's name for it is "partial 18S ribosomal RNA". It matches the Rfam family "Eukaryotic small subunit ribosomal RNA", at positions 569 to 808 of the family's 1831-position model. The record is from RNAcentral. Lineage: Eukaryota; Fungi; Glomeromycota; Glomeromycetes; Glomerales; Glomeraceae.
AGCAGCCGCGGUAAUUCCAGCUCCAAUAGCGUAUAUUAAAGUUGUUGCAGUUAAAAAGCUCGUAGUUGAACUUCGGGGUUUACCCAUUGGUCAGGCUUAAUUGUCUGUACUGGUGAGAUGAAUCUCUACCUUCUGAGGAACUUUCAUGCCAUUUAUUUGGUGUGAUUGGAAAUCAGGACUGUUACUUUGAAAAAAUUAGAGUGUUUAAAGCAGGCUAACGUCUGAAUACAUUAGC